Molecule: long non-coding RNA, 227 nt
Filed under: Elaeis guineensis (African oil palm)
Lineage: Eukaryota; Viridiplantae; Streptophyta; Magnoliopsida; Arecales; Arecaceae
Description: long non-coding RNA (EGUI_LNC028992)
Source: RNAcentral
UCUACUUUCUCUCUUUAUAAAUUUCUUUCUCUGUGAUAUUCUCUCUCUUCAUAGAUUUCUGCUUCUAGAAAUCCUAUGGAUCAAGAGAGUCCAGAUAUCUAGGUACACUCUGAUUGACUAGUUAAUCCUGAGAGAGGCCUUAAAUCUAUAGUGUUAUGAUUGAAUUAUUGUAAUUUUCUACUAUCCAUAAUUAUCUAUAAUUUUUAUAUUUCAUCUUGAUUAUAUAG